Molecule: ribosomal RNA, 400 nt
Filed under: uncultured bacterium
Lineage: Bacteria
Description: bacterial SSU rRNA
Rfam family: Bacterial small subunit ribosomal RNA
Source: RNAcentral
UGGGGAAUAUUGCACAAUGGGCGCAAGCCUGAUGCAGCGACGCCGCGUGGGGGAUGACGGCCUUCGGGUUGUAAACUCCUUUCGCUAGGGACGAAGCUUUUUGUGACGGUACCUAGAUAAGAAGCACCGGCUAACUACGUGCCAGCAGCCGCGGUAAUACGUAGGGUGCGAGCGUUGUCCGGAAUUACUGGGCGUAAAGGGCUCGUAGGUGGUUUGUCGCGUCGUCUGUGAAAUUCCGGGGCUUAACUCCGGGCGUGCAGGCGAUACGGGCAUAACUUGAGUACUGUAGGGGUAACUGGAAUUCCUGGUGUAGCGGUGAAAUGCGCAGAUAUCAGGAGGAACACCGAUGGCGAAGGCAGGUUACUGGGCAGUUACUGACGCUGAGGAGCGAAAGCAUGGG